This 490-nucleotide ribosomal RNA is filed under the name uncultured bacterium. Its description in RNAcentral is "partial 16S ribosomal RNA". It matches the Rfam family "Bacterial small subunit ribosomal RNA", at positions 29 to 507 of the family's 1533-position model. The record is from RNAcentral.
AGUGAACGCUGGCGGUAGGCCUAACGCAUGCAAGUCGAACGGCAGCACAGGAGAGCUUGCUCUCUGGGUGGCGAGUGGCGGACGGGUGAGGAAUACAUCGGAAUCUGCCCAGUCGUGGGGGAUAACGUAGGGAAACUUACGCUAAUACCGCAUACGACCUUCGGGUGAAAGAGGGGGAUCGCAAGACCUCUCGCGAUUGGAUGAGCCGAUGUCGGAUUAGCUAGUUGGCGGGGUAAUGGCCCACCAAGGCGACGAUCCGUAGCUGGUCUGAGAGGAUGAUCAGCCACACUGGAACUGAGACACGGUCCAGACUCCUACGGGAGGCAGCAGUGGGGAAUAUUGGACAAUGGGCGCAAGCCUGAUCCAGCCAUACCGCGUGGGUGAAGAAGGCCUUCGGGUUGUAAAGCCCUUUUGUUGGGAAAGAAAUCUUUCAGGCUAAUACCCUGGGAGGAUGACGGUACCCAAAGAAUAAGCACCGGCUAACUUCGUG